UGCCAAUAGCGACGCAUUUCUUUCUGUUUGCCCAAGGCGAGUUGACACACAACGAAGUACCCGUUCAAGAAGGUCAAAAAUUGUUGAAUUUCAGUUCAUCCGACGUACUGUAAGGUUCCAUAACAAAAUGCUUUCAUCAAGCCGUUUUAUCCUCGCGAUUACAAUGGUGCUGGCCUUCUCAGCCAUUGGAAGUGCCUUGAUUUGUAACGUCUGCGCAUACUCGUCCAAAUCCCCCGCUGCCCAGCAGAAGUGCGGGAAUACGACUGUUAACUGCACCUCGGGGUAUUGUUUCGCAACGCGCUACACUGGGGCUGAUGGCACCGAAGUUGUUGCACGAUCUUGCGACAAUCCUAACGACAAGGCCUGUCCGGAUGCCGAAGCAACGUGCGAGACACGAACCAAAACAUUCCAGCUGAAAUCAUGCGCCGCGUAUUGUUGCAAAACAGAUAAGUGUAACAAUUAUAACCCCAGCAGUGCCACGGGUGUCAUGGCGGCGAAGUUUGGCCUGUUCUUGAUGGUCGCCGUUGGAUUGUUGUUUGCUUAAGUUGAUGAUGGACUUCACGCAUUUUCUAUGUUGACUGUCUGAGUGUCUUUAAUUCUGUUAUUUCUUGCUUUAAAUGUUUUACUAUACUUUAAAUAUAGUUUCCUAGCUCUAGUACUUGCUUUAAAUGUCUUACUAUACUUUAAAUGUAGUUUCCUAGCUCUAGUACUUGCUUUAAAUGUUUUACUAAAAUAGGUUGCAUUUCAUUUUUUCUUUCAUUGCUCAUUUUACUGAAUAUAGUUUUGUGAGAUUAGCGAGCUGACUUAUUAUGGAAUCCGCAUAUAGUCAGGCCUUGUGUUUGAGAGGGGGGGGAGCUCUCGUUUUGGCCACGAUCUCUCCUGGCUGACUUGAGGCGUUUCUAUCCUGAGGCGACUGCAGGGUGAAGUUCGGCUGAGCGAUAAUUUCGUUGUGAUCAAGACUUGCAUUGAAUUCAUGUGGCCAAUAUUGAAAAAUAUGGUUAAAAAUUUCGACUAAUCUUUUUUGUGAUUUCUGAUCUAAUUACAAAAAAAAAUUACCUGCUUACUUUGCGUAAAAAUAGAUAUUUAGAAUAGUAGGCAACCAACUUUACUACAAGUUUUUAUUGACACUUUCAGCUGUUGCGGUGUUGCGUGACAGUGAUGGAGUGCGUUCUGUGAAAUACAGCCGGCUUUGUUUGCUUUCAUUGAGCAAGCGAAUUUUUUUAUUGACAUCCAUGCAGUGUCUGACCAAUGGGAAUAGAGAUUCUAAGUGCGAUGUCGUCAUCACAUCCGUAUAUGGCGCAGACUUUUCAUGGAUUUUUUUGUCAUAGACAAUAGGAGACGCCGUCUAUAGCGACGCAUUUCUUUCUGUUUGCCCAAAGCGAGUUGACACACAGCGAAGUACCGAUCAAGAAGAUAAAAAAUUGUAGAUUUUCAGUUCAUCCGACGUAAGAUUCUAUAACAAAAUGCUUUCAUCAAGUCGUUUUAUCCUCGCGAUUACAAUUGUGCUGGCUUUCUCAGCCAUUGAAAGUGCCUUGAUAUGUAACUCCUGCGAAUACACGUCAAAAUCACCCGCUGCCCAGCAGAAUUGCCGGAAUAAGACUGUUAACUGCGCCUCGGAGUAUUGUUACGCAAUGUUCUACAUUGACGUUAAUGGCCUCGAAAAUUUUGGACGAGGUUGCAACAAUGCUACAGACAAGGUCUGUCCGGAUGCCGAAGCAACGUGCAAGGCACGAACCAAACAACUCAAGCUGAAAUCAUGCGCCGCGUAUUGUUGCAAAACAAAUAAUUGUAACAAUUAUACCGUUACCCCCAGCGGUGCCACGGGUGUCAUGGCGGCGAAGUUUGGCCUGUUCUUGAUGGUCGCCGUUGGAUUUUUUUUUGCUUAAGUUGAUGAUGGCCUUCACGCAUUUUUUAUGUUGACUGUCCGAGUGUCUUUAAUACUGUUAUUUCUUACUUUAAAUGUUUUAAUGUACUUUAAAUGUAGUUUCCUAGCUGUAAUACUUGCUUUAAAUGUUUUA
Long non-coding RNA from Dendronephthya gigantea, 2018 nucleotides. RefSeq lists it as uncharacterized. The transcript has 5 exons. NCBI's taxonomy places the organism in Eukaryota, Metazoa, Cnidaria, Anthozoa, Malacalcyonacea, Nephtheidae. The record is from RefSeq and is a predicted model, not a curated record.